GACGGAGUCGCCGCUCGGGNGGGACCAACGAUCGAAAGGUUGGCUAAUACCGCAUGAGUUCUACGGAAGAAAGAGGGGGACCCGCAAGGGCCUCUCGCGAGCGGAGCGGCCGAUGACUGAUUAGCCUGUUGGUGAGGUAACGGCUCACCAAAGCAACGAUCAGUAGCUGGUCUGAGAGGACGACCAGCCACACUGGGACUGAGACACGGCCCAGACUCCUACGGGAGGCAGCAG
RNAcentral lists this ribosomal RNA (234 nucleotides) under uncultured bacterium. RNAcentral's name for it is "partial 16S ribosomal RNA". It matches the Rfam family "Bacterial small subunit ribosomal RNA", at positions 117 to 354 of the family's 1533-position model. The record is from RNAcentral.